GACGAACGCUGGCGGCGUGCUUAACACAUGCAAGUCGAGCGGUAAGGCCCUUUCGGGGGUACGACGAGCGGCGAACGGGUGAGUAACACGUGGGUGACCUGCCCUCCAGCUCUGGGAUAAGCCUGGGAAACCGGGUCUAAUACUGGAUAUGACUCCAUGACGCAUGUUGUGGGGUGGAAAGCCUUGUGCGGCUGAGGAUGGGCCCGCGGCCUAUCAGCUUGUUGGUAGGGGUGAGGCCUACCAAGGCGACGACGGGUAGCCGGCCUGAGAGGGCGACCGGCCACACUGGGACUGAGACACGGCCCAGACUCCUACGGGAGGCAGCAGUGGGGAAGUCUUGCGCAAUGGGCGAAAGCCUGACGCAGCGACGCCGCGUGAGGGAUGACGGCCU
RNAcentral lists this ribosomal RNA (391 nucleotides) under uncultured bacterium. Its description in RNAcentral is "bacterial SSU rRNA". It matches the Rfam family "Bacterial small subunit ribosomal RNA", at positions 28 to 417 of the family's 1533-position model. The record is from RNAcentral.